RNAcentral lists this ribosomal RNA (494 nucleotides) under uncultured bacterium. RNAcentral's name for it is "partial 16S ribosomal RNA". It matches the Rfam family "Bacterial small subunit ribosomal RNA", at positions 28 to 507 of the family's 1533-position model. The record is from RNAcentral.
GACGAACGCUGGCGGCGUGCUUAACACAUGCAAGUCGAACGGAAAGGCCUGCUUUCCCUUGUGGAUUGCGGGUACUCGAGUGGCGAACGGGUGAGUAACACGUGAGUGAUCUGCCCCCAACUUGGGUAUAAGCCUGGGAAACUGGGUCUAAUUCCCGAUAGGACUGCAGGGUGGUGCUUGUGGUGGAAAACGAUUUUCUAGUGGUUGGGGAUGAGCUCGCGGCCUAUCAGCUUGUUGGUGGGGUAAUGGCCUACCAAGGCGGCGACGGGUAGCCGGCCUGAGAGGGUGGACGGCCACAUUGGGACUGAGAUACGGCCCAGACUCCUACGGGAGGCAGCAGUGGGGAAUAUUGCACAAUGGGCGGAAGCCUGAUGCAGCGACGCCGCGUGGGGGAUGACGGCCUUCGGGUUGUAAACUCCUUUCGACCGCGAGGAAGCCACCUGGUUGGAAGGGUGGUGACGGUAGUGGUAGAAGAAGCACCGGCUAACUACGUG